Molecule: long non-coding RNA, 339 nt
Filed under: Apteryx haastii (Great spotted kiwi)
Lineage: Eukaryota; Metazoa; Chordata; Aves; Apterygiformes; Apterygidae
Description: lncRNA (ENSAHAG00000014713.1)
Source: RNAcentral
CCAGAGUUCUCACGCUCGCCAGAGUUCUCGCGCUCCCCAGAGUUCGCGCUCGCCAGAGUUCUCACGCUCCCCAGAGUUCAAACUCACCAGAGUUCGCGCUCGCCAGAGUUUUGGCACUCGCCAGAGCUCCCUUGCUCGCCAGAGUUUGCGCUCACCUGAGUUCUCUCUCUCACCAGAGGUCGCACUCACCAGAGUUCCCGCGCUCGCCAGAGUUCGCGCUCACCUGAGUUCUCACGCUCGCCAGAGUUCGCACUCACCAGAGUUCCCGCGCUCCCCAGAUUUCUCGCGCUCCCCAGAGUUCGCACUCACCAAAGUUCACGCUCCCCAGAGUUCUCAUGC